GUGGGGAAUAUUCCGCAAUGGACGAAAGUCUGACGGAGCAACGCCGCGUGAGUGAUGAAGGUUUUCGGACUGUAAAGCUCUGUUGUUUAGGACGAAAGUGCCUGUUGCGAAUAGUUACAGGUAUUGACGGUACUGAACGAGGAAGCCACGGCUAACUACGUGCCAGCAGCCGCGGUAAUACGUAGGUGGCAAGCGUUGUCCGGAAUUAUUGGGCGUAAAGAGCAUGUAGGCGGGAAUCUAAGUCUGUUGUGAAAAUGCGGGGCUCAACCCCGUAGUGCGAUGGAAACUGGGUUUCUUGAGUGCAGGAGAGGAAAGGGGAAUUCCCAGUGUAGCGGUGAAAUGCGUAGAUAUUGGGAGGAACACCAGUGGCGAAGGCGCCUUUCUGGACUGUGUCUGACGCUGAGAUGCGAAAGCCAGGGUAGCGAACGGGAUUAGAAACCCGUGUAGUCC
RNAcentral lists this ribosomal RNA (450 nucleotides) under uncultured bacterium. Its description in RNAcentral is "partial 16S ribosomal RNA". It matches the Rfam family "Bacterial small subunit ribosomal RNA", at positions 354 to 796 of the family's 1533-position model. The record is from RNAcentral.